Molecule: ribosomal RNA, 497 nt
Filed under: uncultured bacterium
Lineage: Bacteria
Description: partial 16S ribosomal RNA
Rfam family: Bacterial small subunit ribosomal RNA
Source: RNAcentral
GAUGAACGCUGGCGGCGUGCCUAAUACAUGCAAGUCGAGCGAACAGACGAGGAGCUUGCUCCUCUGACGUUAGCGGCGGACGGGUGAGUAACACGUGGAUAACCUACCUAUAAGACUGGGAUAACUUCGGGAAACCGGAGCUAAUACCGGAUAAUAUAUUGAACCGCAUGGUUCAAUAGUGAAAGACGGUUUUGCUGUCACUUAUAGAUGGAUCCGCGCCGCAUUAGCUAGUUGGUAAGGUAACGGCUUACCAAGGCAACGAUGCGUAGCCGACCUGAGAGGGUGAUCGGCCACACUGGAACUGAGACACGGUCCAGACUCCUACGGGAGGCAGCAGUAGGGAAUCUUCCGCAAUGGGCGAAAGCCUGACGGAGCAACGCCGCGUGACUGAUGAAGGUCUUCGGAUCGUAAAACUCUGUUAUUAGGGAAGAACAAAUGUGUAAGUAACUAUGCACGUCUUGACGGUACCUAAUCAGAAAGCCACGGCUAACUACGUG